RNAcentral lists this ribosomal RNA (1081 nucleotides) under Cladosporium cladosporioides. Its description in RNAcentral is "SSU rRNA". It matches the Rfam family "Eukaryotic small subunit ribosomal RNA", at positions 35 to 1131 of the family's 1831-position model. The record is from RNAcentral. Lineage: Eukaryota; Fungi; Ascomycota; Dothideomycetes; Cladosporiales; Cladosporiaceae.
UCUCCAAGAUAAGCCAUGCAUGUCUAAGUAUAAGCAAUUAUACCGUGAACUGCGAAUGCUCAUUAAAUCAGUUAUCGUUUAUUUGAUAAUACCUUACUACUUGGAUAACCGUGGUAAUUCUAGAGCUAAUACAUGCUGAAAAUCCCGACUUCGGAAGGGAUGUGUUUAUUAGAUAAAAAACCAAUGCCCUUCGGGGCUUUUUGGUGAUUCAUGAUAACUUUACGGAUCGCAUAGCCUUGCGCUGGCGACGGUUCAUUCAAAUUUCUGCCCUAUCAACUUUCGAUGGUAAGGUAUUGGCUUACCAUGGUUUCAACGGGUAACGGGGAAUUAGGGUUCGAUUCCGGAGAGGGAGCCUGAGAAACGGCUACCACAUCCAAGGAAGGCAGCAGGCGCGCAAAUUACCCAAUCCCGACACGGGGAGGUAGUGACAAUAAAUACUGAUACAGGGCUCUUUUGGGUCUUGUAAUUGGAAUGAGUACAAUUUAAACCUCUUAACGAGGAACAAUUGGAGGGCAAGUCUGGUGCCAGCAGCCGCGGUAAUUCCAGCUCCAAUAGCGUAUAUUAAAGUUGUUGCAGUUAAAAAGCUCGUAGUUGAAACUUGGGCCUGGCUGGCGGGUCCGCCUCACCGCGUGCACUCGUCCGGCCGGGCCUUCCUUCUGAAGAACCUCAUGCCCUUCACUGGGCGUGCUGGGGAAUCAGGACUUUUACUUUGAAAAAAUUAGAGUGUUCAAAGCAGGCCUUUGCUCGAAUACGUUAGCAUGGAAUAAUAAAAUAGGGCGUGCGUUUCUAUUUUGUUGGUUUCUAGAGACGCCGCAAUGAUUAACAGGAACAGUCGGGGGCAUCAGUAUUCAGUUGUCAGAGGUGAAAUUCUUGGAUUUACUGAAGACUAACUACUGCGAAAGCAUUUGCCAAGGAUGUUUUCAUUAAUCAGUGAACGAAAGUUAGGGGAUCGAAGACGAUCAGAUACCGUCGUAGUCUUAACCGUAAACUAUGCCGACUAGGGAUCGGGCGAUGUUCUUUUUCUGACUCGCUCGGCACCUUACGAGAAAUCAAAGUUUUUGGGUUCUGGGGGAUAUGCCAC